This 300-nucleotide ribosomal RNA is filed under the name uncultured Methanomassiliicoccus sp. Its description in RNAcentral is "bacterial SSU rRNA". The stretch from base 60 to 300 matches the Rfam family "Bacterial small subunit ribosomal RNA", at positions 555 to 795 of the family's 1533-position model. Lineage: Archaea; Methanobacteriati; Thermoplasmatota; Thermoplasmata; Methanomassiliicoccales; Methanomassiliicoccaceae. The record is from RNAcentral.
GACGAUAAGCGGCCAGGGUCUGAGUUGAUACGGAGGGGGCGAGGGUGGUCCGGGAGUUGUGGGCGUAAAGAGCUGGGAUGCGGUCUGGCGCGGUGGCUGUGAAAACCUGGGGCGCAACCCCGGGCCUGCAGCCGAUACGGGCAGACUAGAAUUCGGUAGGGGAGACUGGAAUUCCUGGUGUAGCGGUGAAAGGCGCAGAUAUCAGGAGGAACACCGGUGGCGAAGGUGGGUCUCUGGGCCGAUAUUGACGCUGAGGAGCGAAAGCGUGGGGAGCGAACAGGAUUAGAUACCCGGGUAGUC